RNAcentral lists this ribosomal RNA (400 nucleotides) under uncultured Sphingobacteriales bacterium. RNAcentral describes it as "bacterial SSU rRNA". It matches the Rfam family "Bacterial small subunit ribosomal RNA", at positions 981 to 1382 of the family's 1533-position model. The record is from RNAcentral. Lineage: Bacteria; Pseudomonadati; Bacteroidota; Sphingobacteriia; Sphingobacteriales.
UCGAACGUAAGAUGACUGUAGGUGAAAGUCUUACAUCUCUUCGGAGCAUUUUACGAGGUGCUGCAUGGUGUCGUCAGCUCGUGCCGUGAGGUGUCGGGUUAAGUCCCAUAACGAGCGCAACCCUACCUUUAGUUGCCAUCAGGUAAUGCUGGGGACUCUAAAGGAACUGCCUACGCAAGUAGUGAGGAAGGCGGGGAUGACGUCAAAUCAGCACGGCCCUUACGUCCAGGGCUACACACGUGCUACAAUGGCCGAUACAGAGGGCAGCUACCUGGUGACAGGAUGCAAAUCUCCAAAGUCGGUCUCAGUUCGGAUCGGAGUCUGCAACCCGACUCCGUGAAGUUGGAUUCGCUAGUAAUCGCGCAUCAGCCAUGGCGCGGUGAAUACGUUCCCGGGCCUU